UGGGGAAUAUUGCGCAAUGGGCGAAAGCCUGACGCAGCGACGCCGCGUGUGGGAUGACGGCCUUCGGGUUGUAAACCACUGUCGCGAGGGACGAAGCUCUGACGGUACCUCGAAAGGAAGCACCGGCUAACUCUGUGCCAGCAGCCGCGGUAAUACAGAGGGUGCGAGCGUUGUCCGGAAUCACUGGGCGUAAAGGGCGCGUAGGUGGCCUGGUUAGUAGGGGGUGAAAUCUCGUGGCUCAACUGCGAGGCUGCCUCCUAAACUGCCAGGCUCGAGCAUAGUAGAGGCAGGUGGAAUUCCCGGUGUAGCGGUGGAAUGCGUAGAGAUCGGGAAGAACAUCGGUGGCGAAGGCGGCCUGCUGGGCUAUUGCUGACACUGAGGCGCGACAGCGUGGGGAGCAAACAGG
This 406-nucleotide ribosomal RNA is filed under the name uncultured bacterium. Its description in RNAcentral is "bacterial SSU rRNA". It matches the Rfam family "Bacterial small subunit ribosomal RNA", at positions 355 to 776 of the family's 1533-position model. The record is from RNAcentral.